This 2893-nucleotide ribosomal RNA is filed under the name Escherichia coli. RNAcentral's name for it is "bacterial LSU rRNA". The record is from RNAcentral. Lineage: Bacteria; Pseudomonadati; Pseudomonadota; Gammaproteobacteria; Enterobacterales; Enterobacteriaceae.
ACUAAGCGUACACGGUGGAUGCCCUGGCAGUCAGAGGCGAUGAAGGACGUGCUAAUCUGCGAUAAGCGUCGGUGAGGUGAUAUGAACCGUUAUAACCGGCGAUUUCCGAAUGGGGAAACCCAGUGUGUUUCGACACACUAUCAUUAACUGAAUCCAUAGGUUAAUGAGGCGAACCGGGGGAACUGAAACAUCUAAGUACCCCGAGGAAAAGAAAUCAACCGAGAUUCCCCCAGUAGCGGCGAGCGAACGGGGAGGAGCCCAGAGCCUGAAUCAGUGUGUGUGUUAGUGGAAGCGUCUGGAAAGGCGUGCGAUACAGGGUGACAGCCCCGUACACAAAAAUGCACAUAUUGUGAGCUCGAUGAGUAGGGCGGGACACGUGGUAUCCUGUCUGAAUAUGGGGGGACCAUCCUCCAAGGCUAAAUACUCCUGACUGACCGAUAGUGAACCAGUACCGUGAGGGAAAGGCGAAAAGAACCCCGGCGAGGGGAGUGAAAAAGAACCUGAAACCGUGUACGUACAAGCAGUGGGAGCCUCUUAAUGGGGUGACUGCGUACCUUUUGUAUAAUGGGUCAGCGACUUAUAUUCUGUAGCAAGGUUAACCGAAUAGGGGAGCCGAAGGGAAACCGAGUCUUAACUGGGCGUUAAGUUGCAGGGUAUAGACCCGAAACCCGGUGAUCUAGCCAUGGGCAGGUUGAAGGUUGGGUAACACUAACUGGAGGACCGAACCGACUAAUGUUGAAAAAUUAGCGGAUGACUUGUGGCUGGGGGUGAAAGGCCAAUCAAACCGGGAGAUAGCUGGUUCUCCCCGAAAGCUAUUUAGGUAGCGCCUCGUGAAUUCAUCUCCGGGGGUAGAGCACUGUUUCGGCAAGGGGGUCAUCCCGACUUACCAACCCGAUGCAAACUGCGAAUACCGGAGAAUGUUAUCACGGGAGACACACGGCGGGUGCUAACGUCCGUCGUGAAGAGGGAAACAACCCAGACCGCCAGCUAAGGUCCCAAAGUCAUGGUUAAGUGGGAAACGAUGUGGGAAGGCCCAGACAGCCAGGAUGUUGGCUUAGAAGCAGCCAUCAUUUAAAGAAAGCGUAAUAGCUCACUGGUCGAGUCGGCCUGCGCGGAAGAUGUAACGGGGCUAAACCAUGCACCGAAGCUGCGGCAGCGACACUAUGUGUUGUUGGGUAGGGGAGCGUUCUGUAAGCCUGUGAAGGUGGCCUGUGAGGGUUGCUGGAGGUAUCAGAAGUGCGAAUGCUGACAUAAGUAACGAUAAAGCGGGUGAAAAGCCCGCUCGCCGGAAGACCAAGGGUUCCUGUCCAACGUUAAUCGGGGCAGGGUGAGUCGACCCCUAAGGCGAGGCCGAAAGGCGUAGUCGAUGGGAAACAGGUUAAUAUUCCUGUACUUGGUGUUACUGCGAAGGGGGGACGGAGAAGGCUAUGUUGGCCGGGCGACGGUUGUCCCGGUUUAAGCGUGUAGGCUGGUUUUCCAGGCAAAUCCGGAAAACCAAGGCUGAGGCGUGAUGACGAGGCACUACGGUGCUGAAGYGACAAAUGCCCUGCUUCCAGGAAAAGCCUCUAAGCAUCAGGUAACAUCAAAUCGUACCCCAAACCGACACAGGUGGUCAGGUAGAGAAUACCAAGGCGCUUGAGAGAACUCGGGUGAAGGAACUAGGCAAAAUGGUGCCGUAACUUCGGGAGAAGGCACGCUGAUAUGUAGGUGAAGCGACUYGCUCGUGGAGCUGAAAUCAGUCGAAGAUACCAGCUGGCUGCAACUGUUUAUUAAAAACACAGCACUGUGCAAACACGAAAGUGGACGUAUACGGUGUGACGCCUGCCCGGUGCCGGAAGGUUAAUUGAUGGGGUUAGCGGUAACGCGAAGCUCUUGAUCGAAGCCCCGGUAAACGGCGGCCGUAACUAUAACGGUCCUAAGGUAGCGAAAUUCCUUGUCGGGUAAGUUCCGACCUGCACGAAUGGCGUAAUGAUGGCCAGGCUGUCUCCACCCGAGACUCAGUGAAAUUGAACUCGCUGUGAAGAUGCAGUGUACCCGCGGCAAGACGGAAAGACCCCGUGAACCUUUACUAUAGCUUGACACUGAACAUUGAGCCUUGAUGUGUAGGAUAGGUGGGAGGCUUUGAAGUGUGGACGCCAGUCUGCAUGGAGCCGACCUUGAAAUACCACCCUUUAAUGUUUGAUGUUCUAACGUUGGCCCGUAAUCCGGGUUGCGGACAGUGUCUGGUGGGUAGUUUGACUGGGGCGGUCUCCUCCUAAAGAGUAACGGAGGAGCACGAAGGUUGGCUAAUCCUGGUCGGACAUCAGGAGGUUAGUGCAAUGGCAUAAGCCAGCUUGACUGCGAGCGUGACGGCGCGAGCAGGUGCGAAAGCAGGUCAUAGUGAUCCGGUGGUUCUGAAUGGAAGGGCCAUCGCUCAACGGAUAAAAGGUACUCCGGGGAUAACAGGCUGAUACCGCCCAAGAGUUCAUAUCGACGGCGGUGUUUGGCACCUCGAUGUCGGCUCAUCACAUCCUGGGGCUGAAGUAGGUCCCAAGGGUAUGGCUGUUCGCCAUUUAAAGUGGUACGCGAGCUGGGUUUAGAACGUCGUGAGACAGUUCGGUCCCUAUCUGCCGUGGGCGCUGGAGAACUGAGGGGGGCUGCUCCUAGUACGAGAGGACCGGAGUGGACGCAUCACUGGUGUUCGGGUUGUCAUGCCAAUGGCACUGCCCGGUAGCUAAAUGCGGAAGAGAUAAGUGCUGAAAGCAUCUAAGCACGAAACUUGCCCCGAGAUGAGUUCUCCCUGACUCCUUGAGRGUCCUGAAGGAACGUUGAAGACGACGACGUUGAUAGGCCGGGUGUGUAAGCGCAGCGAUGCGUUGAGCUAACCGGUACUAAUGAACCGUGAGGCUUAACC